AUCCAGCUAACGAGUUCUAAAUAGAACGAAAUACCCAUCCUGGAU
Schistosoma curassoni is the source of this 45-nucleotide non-coding RNA. The record is from Rfam. Lineage: Eukaryota; Metazoa; Platyhelminthes; Trematoda; Strigeidida; Schistosomatidae.